CCCCAUAUGCCGCGAGGUGAAAUGAAUUUCGCCUGAGGAUGAGCUCGCGUCUGAUUAGCUAGUUGGUGGGGUAAGAGCCUACCAAGGCUUCGAUCAGUAGCUGGUCUGAGAGGAUGAUCAGCCACACUGGGACUGAGACACGGCCCAGACUCCUACGGGAGGCAGCAGUGGGGAAUUUUCCGCAAUGGGCGAAAGCCUGACGGAGCAACGCCGCGUGAGGGAUGAAGGCCUCUGGGCUGUAAACCUCUUUUAUCAAGGAAGAAGAUCUGACGGUACUUGAUGAAUAAGCCACGGCUAAUUCCGUGCCAGCAGCCGCGGUAAUACGGGAGUGGCAAGCGUUAUCCGGAAUUAUUGGGCGUAAAGCGUCCGCAGGCGGUCUUACAAGUCUGUCGUUAAAGCGUGGAGCUUAACUCCAUUUCGGCGAUGGAAACUGUAAGACUAGAGUGUGGUAGGGGCAGAGGGAAUUCCCGGUGUAGCGGUGAAAUGCGUAGAUAUCGGGAAGAACACCAGUGGCGAAGGCGCUCUGCUGGGCCAUAACUGACGCUCAUGGACGAAAGCUAGGGGAGCGAAAGGGAUUAGAUACCCCUGUAGUCCUAGCCGUAAACGAUGAACACUAGGUGUCGGGGGAAUCGACCCCCUCGGUGUCGUAGCCAACGCGUUAAGUGUUCCGCCUGGGGAGUACGCACGCAAGUGUGAAACUCAAAGGAAUUGACGGGGGCCCGCACAAGCGGUGGAGUAUGUGGUUUAAUUCGAUGCAACGCGAAGAACCUUACCAGGGUUUGACAUCCUGCGAAUCCCUUGGAAACUUGGGAGUGCCUUCGGGAGCGCAGUGACAGGUGGUGCAUGGCUGUCGUCAGCUCGUGUCGUGAGAUGUUGGGUUAAGUCCCGCAACGAGCGCAACCCACGUCUUUAGUUGCCAGCAUUUAGUUGGGCACUCUAGAGAGACCGCCGGUGAUAAACCGGAGGAAGGUGUGGAUGACGUCAAGUCAUCAUGCCCCUUACAUCCUGGGCUACACACGUACUACAAUGCUACGGACAAAGGGCAGCAAACUCGCGAGAGCUAGCCAAUCCCAUAAACCGUGGCUCAGUUCAGAUCGUAGGCUGCAACUCGCCUACGUGAAGGAGGAAUCGCUAGUAAUCGCAGGUCAGCAUACUGCGGUGAAUACGUUCCCGGGCCUUGUACACACCGCCCGUCACACCAUGGAAGUUGGCCACGCCCGAAGUCGUUACUCCAACCCUUGUGGAGGAGGAUGCCGAAGGUGGGGCUGAUGACUGGGGUGAAGUCGUAACAAGGUAGCCGUACCGGAAGGUGCGGCUGGAUCACCUCCU
This 1329-nucleotide ribosomal RNA is filed under the name Synechococcus sp. MI0608G. RNAcentral describes it as "16S ribosomal RNA". It matches the Rfam family "Bacterial small subunit ribosomal RNA", at positions 169 to 1531 of the family's 1533-position model. Lineage: Bacteria; Bacillati; Cyanobacteriota; Cyanophyceae; Synechococcales; Synechococcaceae. The record is from RNAcentral.